This 477-nucleotide ribosomal RNA is filed under the name uncultured bacterium. RNAcentral's name for it is "partial 16S ribosomal RNA". It matches the Rfam family "Bacterial small subunit ribosomal RNA", at positions 355 to 826 of the family's 1533-position model. The record is from RNAcentral.
UAGGGAAUCUUCCACAAUGGACGCAAGUCUGAUGGAGCAACGCCGCGUGAGUGAAGAAGGUUUUCGGACCGUAAAGCUCUGUUGUUGGUGAAGAAGGAUAGAGGUAGUAACUGGCCUUUAUUUGACGGUAAUCAACCAGAAAGUCACGGCUAACUACGUGCCAGCAGCCGCGGUAAUACGUAGGUGGCAAGCGUUGUCCGGAUUUAUUGGGCGUAAAGCGAGCGCAGGCGGAAGAAUAAGUCUGAUGUGAAAGCCCUCGGCUUAACCGAGGAAUUGCAUCGGAAACUGUUUUCUUGAGUGCAGAAGAGGAGAGUAGAACUCCAUGUGUAGCGGUGGAAUGCGUAGAUAUAUGGAAGAAUACCAGUGGCGAAGGCGGCUCUCUGGUCUGCAACUGACGCUGAGGCUCGAAAGCAUGGUAGCGAACAGGAUUAGAUACCCUGGUAGUCCAUGCCGUAAACGAUGAGUGCUAAGUGUUGG